Molecule: microRNA, 23 nt
Filed under: Canis lupus familiaris (dog)
Lineage: Eukaryota; Metazoa; Chordata; Mammalia; Carnivora; Canidae
Description: Cfa-Novel-10_3p (mature (guide))
Source: RNAcentral
UUCAGUCUUUGGCCUGCCUCUCC